This is a long non-coding RNA of Oncorhynchus keta (chum salmon), 2727 nucleotides long. RefSeq lists it as uncharacterized. The transcript is spliced from 11 exons. The record is from RefSeq and is a predicted model, not a curated record. NCBI's taxonomy places the organism in Eukaryota, Metazoa, Chordata, Actinopteri, Salmoniformes, Salmonidae.
GUCCUUCAGCAGGAGGUUGUCCAGGCAGAGUCCCAGUCUGAAGUGUCUCAGUAACACAGUGAAUGUUCCUCCAGUCCUUCAGCAGGAGGUUGUCCAGGCAGAGUCCCAGUCUGAAGUGUCUCAUUAACACAGUGAAUGUUCCUCUAGUCCUUCAGCAGGAGGUUGUCCAGGCAGAGUCCCAGUCUGAAGUGUCUCAGUAACACAGUGAAUGUUCCUCUAGUCCUUCAGCAGGAGGUUGUCCAGGCAGAGUCCCAGUCUGAAGUGUCUCAGUAACACAGUGAAUGUUCCUCUAGUCCUUCAGCAGGAGGUUGUCCAGGCAGAGUCCCAGUCUGAAGUGUCUCAGUAACACAGUGAAUGUUCCUCUAGUCCUUCAGCAGGAGGUUGUCCAGGCAGAGUCCCAGUCUGAAGUGUCUCAGUAACACAGUGAAUGUUCCUCUAGUCCUUCAGCAGGAGGUUGUCCAGGCAGAGUCCCAGUCUGAAGUGUCUCAGUAACACAGUGAAUGUUCCUCUAGUCCUUCAGCAGGAGGUUGUCCAGGCAGAGUCCCAGUCUGAAGUGUCUCAGUAACACAGUGAAUGUUCCUCUAGUCCUUCAGCAGGAGGUUGUCCAGGCAGAGUCCCAGUCUGAAGUGUCUCAGUAACACAGUGAAUGUUCCUCUAGUCCUUCAGCAGGAGGUUGUCCAGGCAGAGUCCCAGUCUGAAGUGUCUCAGUAACACAGUGAAUGUUUCUCUAGUCCUUCAGCAGGAGGUUGUCCAGGCAGAGUCCCAGUCUGAAGUGUCUCAGUAACACAGUGAAUGUUCCUCUAGUCCUUCAGCAGGAGGUUGUCCAGGCAGAGUCCCAGUCUGAAGUGUCUCAGUAACACAGUGAAUGUUCCUCUAGUCCUUCAGCAGGAGGUUGUCCAGGCAGAGUCCCAGUCUGAAGUGUCUCAGUAACACAGUGAAUGUUCCUCUAGUCCUUCAGCAGGAGGUUGUCCAGGCAGAGUCCCAGUCUGAAGUGUCUCAGUAACACAGUGAAUGUUCCUCUAGUCCUUCAGCAGGAGGUUGUCCAGGCAGAGUCCCAGUCUGAAGUGUCUCAUUAUCUUCCUCCCUGCUUCCCCGACGCCGACACACCUCAACACGUCUACCUGUUUGACGACAGUAUCCUUCACCUGGACUGUGUGUGACCAGGUUAAUGUGUGUGACCAGGUUAAUGUGUGUGACCAGGUUAAUGUGUGUGACCAGGUUAAUGUGUGUGACCAGGUUAAUGUGUGUGACCAGGUUAAUGUGUGUGACCAGGUUAAUGUGUCACCAGGUUAAUGUGUGACCAGGUUAAUGUGUGUGUGUGACCAGGUUAAUGUGUGUGACCAGGUUCAUGUGUGUGUGUGUGUGUGACCAGGUUAAUGUGUGACCAGGUUAAUGUGUGACCAGGUUAAUGUGUGUGUGUGACCAGGUUAAUGUGUCACCAGGUUAAUGUGUGACCAGGUUAAUGUGUGUGUGUGACCAGGUUAAUGUGUGUGACCAGGUUCAUGUGUGUGUGUGUGUGUGUGUGUGUGACCAGGUUAAUGUGUGACCAGGUUAAUGUGUGACCAGGUUAAUGUGUGUGUGUGACCAGGUUAAUGUGUGACCAGGUUAAUGUGUGACCAGGUUAAUGUGUGUGUGUGACCAGGUUAAUGUGUGUGACCAGGUUCAUGUGUGUGUGUGUGUGUGUGUGACCAGGUUAAUGUGUGUGUGUGUGACCAGGUUAAUGUGUGUGACCAGGUUCAUGUGUGUAUGUGUGACCAGGUUAAUGUGUGUGUGUGACCAGGUUAAUGUGUGUGUGUGUGACCAGGUUAAUGUGUGUGACCAGGUUAACGUGUGUGUGUGUGACCAGGUUAAUGUGUGUGUGUCCUUACCUGAGUCCCAGUCCUGUCUCCGGUGGAGUACGAUGUUAAUGUGUGUGACCAGGUUAAUGUGUGUGUGUGACCAGGUUAAUGUGUGACCAGGUUAAUGUGUGUGUGUCCUUACCUGAGUCCCAGUCCUGUCUCCGGUGGAGUACGAUGUUAAUGUGUGUGACCAGGUUAAUGUGUGACCAGGUUAAUGUGUGUGUGUCCUUACCUGAGUCCCAGUCCUGUCUCCGGUGGAGUACGAUGUUAAUGUGUGUGACCAGGUUAACGUGUGACCAGGUUAAUGUGUGACCAGGUUAAUGUGUGUGUGUCCUUACCUGAGUCCCAGUCCUGUCUCCGGUGGAGUACGAUGUUAAUGUGUGUGACCAGGUUAACGUGUGACCAGGUUAAUGUGUGUGUGUCCUUACCUGAGUCCCAGUCCUGUCUCCGGUGGAGUACGAUGUUAAUGUGUGUGACCAGGUUAAUGUGUGUGUGUGACCAGGUUAAUGUGUGACCAGGUUAAUGUGUGUGUGUCCUUACCUGAGUCCCAGUCCUGUCUCCGGUGGAGUACGAUGUUAAUGUGUGUGACCAGGUUAAUGUGUGUGUGUCCUUACCUGAGUCCCAGUCCUGUCUCCGGUGGAGUACGAUGUUAAUGUGUGUGACCAGGUUAAUGUGUGUGUGUGACCAGGUUAAUGUGUGACCAGGUUAAUGUGUGUGUGUCCUUACCUGAGUCCCAGUCCUGUCUCCGGUGGAGUACGAUGUUAAUGUGUGUGACCAGGUUAAUGUGUGUGUGUCCUUACCUGAGUCCCAGUCCUGUCUCCGGUGGAGUACGAUGUUAAUGUGUGUGACCAGGUUAAUGUGUGUGUGUCCUUACCUGAGUCCCAGUCCU